UACAGAGGGUGCGAGCGUUGUUCGGAAUUAUUGGGCGUAAAGGGCGCGUAGGCGGCGCCACAAGUCACCUGUGAAAACUCUGGGCUCAACCCAGAGCCUGCAGGCGAACUGUGGUGCUGGAGUAUGGGAGAGGUGCGGUGGCAAUUCCCGGUGUAGCGGUAGAAAUGCGUAGAUAGUCGGGAGGAACACCCUGUGGCGAAAGCGGCGCACUGGACCAUAACUGACGCUGAGGCGCGAAAAGCUAGGGGGAGCAAACAGG
This 259-nucleotide ribosomal RNA is filed under the name uncultured bacterium. RNAcentral's name for it is "partial 16S ribosomal RNA". It matches the Rfam family "Bacterial small subunit ribosomal RNA", at positions 524 to 776 of the family's 1533-position model. The record is from RNAcentral.